Molecule: ribosomal RNA, 305 nt
Filed under: uncultured bacterium
Lineage: Bacteria
Description: bacterial SSU rRNA
Rfam family: Bacterial small subunit ribosomal RNA
Source: RNAcentral
AUUCCUACGGGGGGCAGCAGUGGGGGAUAUUGCACAAUGGGGGAAACCCUGAUGCAGCAACGCCGCGUGAAGGAAGAAGGUCUUCGGAUUGUAAACUUUUGUCUUGUGGGAAGAUAAUGACGGUACCACAGGAGGAAGCUCCGGCUAACUACGUGCCAGCAGCCGCGGUAAUACGUAGGGAGCGAGCGUUGUCCGGAUUUACUGGGUGUAAAGGGAGCGUAGACGGUGAGACAAGUCUGAGGUGAAAGCCCGGGGCUCAACCCCGGGACUGCUUUGGAAACUGCCUGACUGGAGUGCUGGAGAGG